This is a long non-coding RNA of Strongylocentrotus purpuratus (purple sea urchin), 1109 nucleotides long. RefSeq lists it as uncharacterized. The record is from RefSeq and is a predicted model, not a curated record. NCBI's taxonomy places the organism in Eukaryota, Metazoa, Echinodermata, Echinoidea, Camarodonta, Strongylocentrotidae. The transcript has 8 exons.
AGUUGGGUCUAGAGUCUAAUUUAGAUGUAUCUUAUGAAUUUCAGAAUUAUUUAGUCACAGAAACCAUUCCAAUUUAUCUAAUUUGUAUUUUUAAUAGUAUGUUGGUUUUCUAUUUUAAUAAUUAAAACUACCAUUUUUAAUCAACUUUAGUUCCAACUUUAUUUUGCUGAGCUUGCUGAACUUGCUGAGCGCUAUUAAAGUUUGGAGUCAUACCAGUAAUGCUCAAUAAUCACUACAUGACAUAAUUGGUUUCAAUUUUAAAAGAAAAAUUUGAUGUUUAUGCUAAAACUAAGGUAAUGUAAAUUUAAGGCAUCUCUUGAAUGUACAAGUUUUGGUCAUUGUCUCUUAGCAGAUGAAUGAGAUGAGAAUUACGAAUGGAGGUGCUCCCAGUGAUUCCAGAGCUGUUCUUCCAAGAGAGUGUCAACUAGCACUGAGCCUGGAUGUAAGGAUGUUCCUUCUGGAUCAAGAAGCGAUUUGAUUGUGGAGCCUGGAUGUAAGGAUGUUCCUUCUGGAUCAAGAAGCGAUUUGAUUGUGGAGCCUGGAUGUAAGGAUGUUCCUUCUGGAUCAAGAAGCGAUUUGAUUGUGGAGCCUGGAUGUAAGGAUGUUCCUUCUGGAUCAAGAAGCGAUUUGAUUGUGCUUACUGUUGUACAAAGUUGGCAACCAAGUAUUGGGGAAGCAGUUGUGCACACAACGUGUCAGCGUAGACUCCUCUAACCAGAUGGAGAGCAGACAAUGAUCAAGCUCAUUUUACAGGCUGCCCUUUCAAAUGCGUCCAAGAUGAAGAAAAGGCCAUUUCGAGCAUUGACCAAUGCUGUGUAUGACCCGAUGUCUAGGAAAGGACCCCUAGGAUGCUCAGCGAAGGCUUUCUACAAACAAUUAAUCAUGUAACACUAAGGAAUCUGUCGCUUGUCAACAAAAUAAAAUGGCAUUGUAUUUUCAUCUGUUCGCCUGUUCAAUGCAGGGACCUAUUUGCCUUCUUUGCAAGGGGGGGGGGGGGGGUUAUGUAUAACCUGUAUUCCCUGGUCCGGGCAAGAAAGUAAUACUGUUCGCCUGUUCAAUGCACGGAGUAGUGUCGCCUUUUUUAUGGCCGGGGGGGGGGGGGGGGGGGG